CGGAAGCCAUGAUCCUUACCCAGACACAGGCCAGCGAGCCAGCUUCUGCAGGUGCUGGAAGGAGGUUCUGCCGCGGCUUCCAUUCGUCCCCCUAUGAAUCGCCUACAUCAGGGCUCCAGGCAGCUGAGAUCACAGUUCACAGGCCUACAGAUCAAGAGGAACUGUACAGGAGGAGCUGUAUUUGAGAAAGUCAUCCAAGGAGCCUCAUCUGAGCCUGGACGUGAUUAGAUAACAAGACCCAGGACUUCAAGCUGAGGCUUCGAUGGAAUGAGACUUUGGGGGACCUUGGAAAGGGGACGAAUCCCCAGAAAUGAAACUGUUGCAUCAUGAGCAUGUGUAUUCCCCUUGAUUAGCUUUCUCUGCUUCUCAGACAUGCAGCUGAAGAAGGCUACCUCUCACCUGCCUCAGCGCCAGCAACCAAAGGAGACAAGCACCUGUGAGUCCCAAUUCUAAAUUCCCACAGAUAGAAUCUGAUUGGCCCGAUUUGGGUCAGAUAUCCACCCUAAUCAAAUUCUCUGUGACUGGUUGGGGGAGCUGGGAGCCGGAGGACAGGUUCAGGCCCAGCUCCAUGAAAUUGAGAACA
Long non-coding RNA from Balaenoptera acutorostrata (minke whale), 583 nucleotides. RefSeq lists it as uncharacterized. The transcript has 4 exons. Lineage: Eukaryota; Metazoa; Chordata; Mammalia; Artiodactyla; Balaenopteridae. The record is from RefSeq and is a predicted model, not a curated record.